Molecule: long non-coding RNA, 237 nt
Filed under: Chrysolophus pictus (golden pheasant)
Lineage: Eukaryota; Metazoa; Chordata; Aves; Galliformes; Phasianidae
Description: lncRNA (ENSCPIG00010013153.1)
Source: RNAcentral
CUACAGCAGAGCCUGCUGUACCUGAAGGAUCCUCAGCCUGCUAUGCGACAAAAUGCUCUCUUGUUCAUUGUCCUCCAUUUUUUGGAACAUGACAGUCAUCCGCUAGUCCGUAGUCAGGCAACAUUGACACUCCAGAUUCUGAGAAAACCACAGCAGCAGAAAAGGAAAGGAUGGGGCAGGCUUGUAGAACUGUGUUGCUGGCCCUGCAAUUCUCUCUUUCGUCAUAAGUCUGACUGA